Molecule: long non-coding RNA, 815 nt
Organism: Drosophila nasuta
Lineage: Eukaryota; Metazoa; Arthropoda; Insecta; Diptera; Drosophilidae
Exons: 2
Source: RefSeq, a predicted model, not a curated record
UCGAUUGUAAGCUGCCAACUAGCCCUAGCAUUUUAAUUGAUUGGCAGUAAGCGAUUUAGUUUGCAUGCACUUAUAGCGAGUGUUGACUGUGGCAAAAACAGAUCUUUCUACGUAUAUUGCGUACGUAGUAUCUCUAUCUCUAGAGCGUGCCAGAACGCAAAAACAACGAGUCAUUCUGAGUGGGAUGGGUUGUGUUGGGAGGUGCUGCUUGCUUCGCUAAUCAAAAAUGUUGGCAAAAUAUACAUAUGUAUGUAUGUACAUAUACACACUCAAAGUCCGAUAAUAUUUAGAUUUGCUAAUUACCCAGACGGCAGACGCAAAUGAAUAACAACAAAAUUUAGUCACUUCUGAUUGACGUGCUUGUGCGAAACGUAGCCUAAAACAAAUACUAAAUGGCUGGAUCGUAGGUAAAACUGGAAGCAAGCAGUGCACUCUGCCUUGCUUUCGUGCAAAUUAGGCCGUGCACUGCUUUACAUGCCUGAUCAACUUGACAUUCAUUAACCACCCCAAUCAACAAAAACUUCACUGGGGCUUGUCACGUAAAGUAUUACUAAUACCACGCAUUGUCCCACAGUCCGGUAAAUUACUGGUAUGAAUCUUGAAACGCCUUUUGCUGCUGAUAAGCAACGUAUCGCGUCUAUUCAAUUCGUCAUUCAACAAACACUCGAAUUAGAUCCAAAAAAAAUAUCUCUGUAUUUAUUGCUAGUGGGUUACCAAGUUAUUAAACCAAAUCUCAAGUACAUUCUUAGUAAUAUAUGUAUAUGUAGUUCAUUUUAAAUUAAACGACAGCGAGAUUAAAUAAAAUUGUAGAUUUA